AAAAUUUCUGACCUUUUGAUACUAAAAUACCUAUAAGUCCCUGUUGGAAAUUCUGAUUUGUACCAAACUAACUUCGUCCGAAACUAGACUUAUAGACCUUUCUUUUGACAUAUAGUUUGAAAAUUUUGGAAUUCAAAUGCCUACUCUAUUAUCUGUUGAAUCCGACCCUAUGAAUUCUGCAAAACAGUGAUUGUGUUUUUGACCUUGUGUUACCAAAUCAAAGGUAACUCCUUGUUGGAAACCAUGAUUCGUACGAAAC
RNAcentral lists this long non-coding RNA (259 nucleotides) under Musa acuminata (dwarf banana). Its description in RNAcentral is "long non-coding RNA (MACU_LNC000651)". Lineage: Eukaryota; Viridiplantae; Streptophyta; Magnoliopsida; Zingiberales; Musaceae. The record is from RNAcentral.